GCAUAUCAAUAAGCGGAGGAAAAGAAACCAACAGGGAUUGCCUUAGUAGCGGCGAGUGAAGCGGCAAGAGCUCAAAUUUGAAAUCUGGUACCUUCGGUGCCCGAGUUGUAAUUUGAAGAAAACAAUCUUGGAUUUGGCCUUUGUCUAUGUUCCUUGGAACAGGACGUCAUAGAGGGUGAGAAUCCCGUCUGAUGAGGUGUCCAUUUCUAUGUAAGAUGUUUUCGAAGAGUCGAGUUGUUUGGGAAUGCAGCUCAAAGUGGGUGGUAAAUUCCAUCUAAAGCUAAAUAUUGGCGAGAGACCGAUAGCGAACAAGUACUGUGAAGGAAAGAUGAAAAGAACUUUGAAAAGAGAGUGAAAAAGUACGUGAAAUUGUUGAAAGGGAAGGGUAUUUGAUCAGACUUGGUAUUUAGUUAUCAUUGCUCCUUGUGGGUGGUGCUCUAACUUUUUACUGGGCCAGCAUCAGUUUUGGCGGCAAGAUAAUCGCAGUUGAAUGUAGCUCCUUGGAGUAUUAUAGCUUCUGUUGAUAUUGCCUGCUGAGACUGAGGUCUGCGGCUUCUGCCUAGGAUGCUGGCGUAAUGAUUAAAUACCGCCCGUCUUGAAACAUGGACCAAGGAGUCUAACGUCUAUGCGAGUGUUUGGGUGUAAAACCC
Molecule: ribosomal RNA, 650 nt
Filed under: Ogataea thermomethanolica
Lineage: Eukaryota; Fungi; Ascomycota; Pichiomycetes; Pichiales; Pichiaceae
Description: LSU rRNA
Rfam family: Eukaryotic large subunit ribosomal RNA
Source: RNAcentral